Molecule: small nuclear RNA, 107 nt
Organism: Monodelphis domestica (gray short-tailed opossum)
Lineage: Eukaryota; Metazoa; Chordata; Mammalia; Didelphimorphia; Didelphidae
Source: Ensembl
AUGCUCACUUCCACAGCACAUAAUUUAAAAUGGGAUUGAUAUAGAAAAGAUUAUCAUUGUUCCCAAGACAAGAUGACAUGCAGAUUUGCAAAGUAUUUUAUAUAUUU